This 253-nucleotide ribosomal RNA is filed under the name uncultured bacterium. RNAcentral's name for it is "partial 16S ribosomal RNA". It matches the Rfam family "Bacterial small subunit ribosomal RNA", at positions 524 to 776 of the family's 1533-position model. The record is from RNAcentral.
UACGUAGGGUGCGAGCGUUGUCCGGAUUUAUUGGGCGUAAAGAGCGUGUAGGCGGCCAUACAGGUCAGCUGUGAAAACUCGAGGCUCAACCUCGAGACGUCGGUUGAAACCGUAUGGCUAGAGUCCGGAAGAGGAGAGUGGAAUUCCCGGUGUAGCGGUGAAAUGCGCAGAUAUCGGGAAGAACACCCGUGGCGAAGGCGGCUCUCUGGGACGGUACUGACGCUGAGGCACGAAAGCGUGGGGAGCAAACAGG